RNAcentral lists this small nucleolar RNA (104 nucleotides) under Catagonus wagneri (Chacoan peccary). RNAcentral's name for it is "Small nucleolar RNA U13 (ENSCWAG00000011365.1)". It matches the Rfam family "Small nucleolar RNA U13". Lineage: Eukaryota; Metazoa; Chordata; Mammalia; Artiodactyla; Tayassuidae. The record is from Rfam by way of RNAcentral.
AUCCUUUUGUAGUUCAUAAGCGUGAUGAUUGGGUGUUCACGCGGUUGCGUGACAUGUGCCUCCCUCGAUCCUUGUUACGACUGCGGCACAUUACCCGUCUGACG